RNAcentral lists this ribosomal RNA (537 nucleotides) under Glischroderma sp. CUP 62651. Its description in RNAcentral is "eukaryotic LSU rRNA". It matches the Rfam family "Eukaryotic large subunit ribosomal RNA", at positions 66 to 602 of the family's 3401-position model. The record is from RNAcentral. Lineage: Eukaryota; Fungi; Ascomycota; Pezizomycetes; Pezizales; Pezizaceae.
CAACAGGGAUUGCCUUAGUAACGGCGAGUGAAGCGGCAAAAGCUCAGAUUUGAAAUCUGGUGUAGUAAAUGACACCCGAGUUGUAAUCUGUAGAGGAGUUUUCGGAGAAUGACUUUGGUUAAAGUUCCUUGGAAAAGGGCAUCAUAGAGGGUGAGAAUCCUGUUUAUGACCUUUGUACUUCUCCUUUAUGAAUCUCCUUCAAUGAGUCGAGUUGUUUGGGAAUGCAGCUCUAAAUGGGUGGUAAAUUCCAUCUAAAGCUAAAUAUUGGCAAGAGACCGAUAGCGCACAAGUAGAGUGAUCGAAAGAUGAAAAGAACUCUGAACAGAGAGUUAAAGAGUACGUGAAAUUGUUGAAAGGGAAGCACUUGUGACCAGACAAAUUUGCAAUUAAUCAGCCAUCAGUUUUGGUGGUGCACUUGAUUGUAGGUGGGUCAGCAUCAGUUAUAGCAGUGGGACAAAGAUCCAAAGAAUGUAGCUCCUCUUUGAGGAGUGUUAUAGCUUUUGGUUUAAUACCGCUUGCCAUAACUGAGGAUAGCAC